CCUACGGGAGGCUGCAGUGAGGAAUCUUCGUCAAUGGACGAGAGUCUGAACCAGCCAAGUAGCGUGAAGGAUGACUGCCCUAUGGGUUGUAAACUUCUUUUAUAAAGGAAUAAAACGAGGCACGUGUGCCUUUUUGCAUGUGCUUGAUGAUUAAGGGUCGGCUAACUCCGUGCCAGCAGCCGCGGUAAUACGGAGGAUCCGAGCGUUAUCCGGAUUUAUUGGGUUUAAAGGGAGCGUAGAUGGGUUGUAAAGUCAGUUGUUAAAGUUUGCUGCUCAACCGUAAAAUUGCAAUUGAUACUGGCAGUCUUGAGUACAGGUGAGGUAAGCGGAAGUCGUGGUGUAGCGGUGAAAUGCUUAGAUAUCACGAAGAACCCCGAUUGCGAAGGCAGCUUACUAAACUGUGACUGACAUUGAUGCUCGAAAGUGUGGGUAUCAAACAGGAUUAGAUACCCGGGUAGUC
This 460-nucleotide ribosomal RNA is filed under the name uncultured bacterium. RNAcentral's name for it is "partial 16S ribosomal RNA". It matches the Rfam family "Bacterial small subunit ribosomal RNA", at positions 338 to 795 of the family's 1533-position model. The record is from RNAcentral.